GAUUAAAAACAUGGCUUCGAAGAAAGUUGUUUUCGUCAUAAGCGGCUCACGUGUUAUAGUUAUUCCAAGAAAAUUUAUAUUUACUAUGCAACAAGAUGUUAGAUAAAUAUAUUGUAAUGUUGAACAGUUAAAGGCCGAAGAGUCAUGGAUAUUUGCAUCCUGCUUUGAUUUCUGUGGUGUUUUGUCUUGAUGGGAAAACUUUGGAACCAAAAACCAGGGCUCACAAAUUCCUCUUCAGAGCUCCAUCAAUAUAGCCAGUUGAUGCUUUGAACACCUAGAAAUUGGAUAUGAAUGGGAUCUGGACUAAAACCUUCAUAAGAACUUGUAUGACUUUUGCAGGAGAAAUGUUCGCUGUCGCAGACACCCAGUGGACACCGCAAUAAAAGAUGAUGUCGAUGCAUCAGUAGAAAGAGGCAAACGCACAUGAAGGAAAGGUUUACCACAUGAACCAAGUCUCUAUACAGAAAUCCAAUACAGACACUUUCCUUGUUUGUAAUCAUUUAAAGAUUUUGCAGCCACAAGAACGUUGCAGAAAAUUCCAUUCCGUAUGGCAUGUAAACUUGAUUUCUCACGCUCAACCAUGUAACAUCUCUUUGUAACUUGUCCAGUGGCCUUUAGCUCCCGCAUGGAAUGCCCCCCUCACCCUUAAAGUGUUGCUUAUGUGCCGCCUAACUACCGAAAUUGUUCGGCCUAACUGCCCAAAAUUAAGUAGGGUAACUCUGAACGGAAAGCUGCAAUUUGGAGCCAUCUAUUGUCGGGAAAUGUACAAAGAAGUCUCUAAGUUAACCAUAAACACACCCUCUUCGAUCGCGUGGAACAUAGGUCGAUGCAAUAUCCAGGGCAAUCGCGAGGCAAGCCUUGCUGGGGGGGGGUGUGGACAACAAAUUUACCUGAUUAUUAAACAAUUACCUGAAAUUCUUAACAUGCUGAAGCAAACCUCUGCAAUACUUUUUGUCAAUCUAACGGUGUGGCAUAUAAUUCGCAAUUUUCAAUUUUAUAUGAUUAUAACAGACUUUUAUAAUAGUUUUGUCAAAUCUGUAUAUCGGGACGGGCAAGGAUAUACCUACCCGAGCCCGCACCAUGGUUGCCGC
This is a non-coding RNA of Rhopilema esculentum, 1091 nucleotides long. NCBI's taxonomy places the organism in Eukaryota, Metazoa, Cnidaria, Scyphozoa, Rhizostomeae, Rhizostomatidae. The record is from RefSeq and is a predicted model, not a curated record.